CAGAAGUGACUUGUUUGGUCUCUGAUUCUUGCACUCAGGCACAAGACAACCUGACAUUUCAGGAGAUGGUCUGUCAGAAUUGGAUCUCUGAGUGGGGUGGCUCUUGAUAGGGAUCCCUGUUAACUGUGACUAGAAUCCUGAGAAGAGAAAAACCUUCCUGAAAUGGGCAUAUCCCUGGCUGGCCUGGAACCAACCUUUCGGACUUAGGACUAUGGGAAGAAUAGGGGGAGAUUCUCUAGUGAUGAUAAUACAUGAAUGCUUUAAAAGCUAGAACAGGCGUCCCUGGGUGGUCUUGAACUACUCACCGUUCGGUUAAUAGCCGAACGCUCUGACCGAUUGCGCCACAGAGACAGGUACUAGCGAUUCCACUGGGCGCUAUAGGCAGGGCGCACUCACCGAACUCCCCAAUCCCUUCCAGCCUCAGAGCCCGCCUGGCAGGACUACUGAGCAAGGCCUUGGAAAAUCGGAGCGAUUAGAGCGAAGUGCUUCGGUCAGGCAGUAUCUUUGAAAAUAAUUUGGCCAAUGAAAGCCCUGGCAUUGGAUGAAAGUGCUAGCUGCUGGGAAUGCUACCCCUCCUUUUGGUUCUCUUUCAAGUCCUUCAGGUUCAAACAAUACAGAAGUGUAUAAAGUAAGAAUUGAAAGUCUCUUCGCUGCUCUAAUCUCACUCCUCAGAGGUGAUCACUGGACCUGAGUGAGCAGAAGGCUUUUCAGAAUUACAGCCUGAACUAUUUCUUGAGCAAUUUGGGAACUCAUUUCUAAAGCAGUCCUCAGAUUCACACAACGUAGUUUGUGACGGAGUAUGCCCAGAGCAGCUGUCUUGUUGAUGGGGGUGCACCCUGACGAAUGGUGUGCUGGCAAAGAUUUAACAAAAGGCUCCAGAGGAGGGCAGACUUGAAGUGGAGCCUUCAGUGGGCAGUGUGAAGGGUGCUGAUUUCAAACAACUCAUCUGGUAUGACUGAACAUGAAGUUGGGAAGAGAUGUGCAUAAUUGAAGUGGGUGAGAGCCAGUCCAGCACCCUGCAGAGAGUGUGGAAGAUGAUCAAAGUAUGACAUUUCUUCUACCCCAGAGGCUGGCAUUUCUGCAGGCACAAAUGAGCUUGGUUUUCAAGCACUGCUCUUUGAACACAAGGAAUUCCUUUAAUGAUCACGCCGGACUAUAUAGACUUUGGAAUCAGACUCUUUGAAUUCCAGCUCUGCCAUUUACCAACUUUGACACUUUGGACAACGUCUCAUUCUGUCACCCAGGCUGGAGUGCAGUGGCACAAUUAUAGCUCACUGCAGCCUCAAACACCUGGGCUCAAGCAAUCCUUCCACCUCUGCCUCCUGAGUAAUUGGGACUACAGGGUUUUGGAAAUCUGGAUUGUAGCAGGGCAUUGUAAGUUAAAAAAUCAUCUUCCCAUUCUGUUCUUUGCAAAGAUAUUUCUGUUCCUUAAAUUUGUUGAGGGUAAGAGAUUGCAGAUUGCUUCUGUGGACUUCUUGAAGGUGGAUCUGCCUGUUGGUGGAGAACCCUAGACUGCAUGCAGCCAUGCACAUGAUCUGGAGACACAGCAGGUUGUACCAGAAGCAGGGCUGAGGAGGCCUUAGGAAACUUAAAAUCAUGGCGGAAGGCAAAGGGGAAACAGGUCAUCCUCAGCAUUUAUACUCUCUCUCCUUUUGUGCCCCCAUGGACCAAGUUAAGAAGGUGUAGGCUUCAAAUCUUAAGAUCGGUCACCACAAAAUUCAAAAAGACAAGGUCUUUGUCUGUUGCUCAGGAUGGAGUGUAGUGGUGCCAUAGCACACUGUAAUCUUGAAUUUCUGGACUACUGGCAUACACCACCAUGCUUAGGUUCGGGCCACAACAUCCGUGACUUUACCGGUUUUGGUCUCUUCCUUGUAACUUUCGGCUCCAGGAUGCUGCGCAGCUCCUCUCUGCACUAUCUAUCAGAACGUUGCUCUGCGUGCUUGAAAGUUUCGCCAAACAGAAGUACACAAAAACAAACAGAGGCGAAACACAAAUCCCCUCAGCCCUGGAGGAAAAGGCCUUGAAGCUCUUCCAGUGCAGAGGCCACGCAGAGGACAUGCUCCUACCUGUGCACAUCGGCCACGCCUGGGGUGCCUCCUGGAGUCCAGGCUGCUGGCGAUGGAAUCCAUCAUGUUGCUGAUGUCACUACUCUCAACUCCUGAUGGCAUCAGAACACAGGCAGCAUCAAGAUCAGGCUCAAGAUGCAGGAUUUUAUCAUCCAAAUCAGGCCCACAUAUGGAUGAAACCCUUCAGGUAUUCUGCACAUCUCUCAGGAAACCCAGAUGAAAUUGAGUGCCUGCUGCCCACAUCAGCAACCCAGACAUCCCACUUGAUUCUGCUUCUGGAGCCUAAGAUGGGAAAAUGGCAGGUGUCGCAGGUUGCAGGGGAAGGUCGGAGACCAGUUGAGGGCCCCGGAGUCUGUCUGGAAAGAGUUUUCCAUCCAGCCCGUCUCGGUUUCCGCAUCCGUGUGAGUCCUUUAUGACGUCGGGAAUGCCAAGGUCUGAGUCCUUUAUGAUGUUCAGGGUGCCCCGGUCUCACCCCGGGAGCCUCCUCGCUCCGGCCUGCUCCUGGCUACCCGGUGGGCGGCUCUGGCCCCAGCGACCCGCUACUGUUUCUCCAUGCGCUGCCACUUCGCAAAGGCACAUCUCUAGGUCAGUGGUCAGCUGCAGCCAGGGCGCUGCAACUCGCUCCAGGACUCGGGAAUCAGGGCCUUGGUGGGCCUCGCAGAGUGCUGGGUGUGUCGCCUGCGGGCUCCUCUUUUGGAGAAAGGAGGGAGGGAAAGGCCUUGUGAGACGACUCCAGGAGCGACCAGCGACCCCCACAAGGCCCAAGUCCUCCCAGCGCACUCAGAAACAGUCACUUAAAUGGCAAUAAGGUUGAGAAAGACUCUCCCGUGCCCCCGUGCUGGUGUAGUGGCUGUGAUUCAGUCCUUUCACCACCGCAUCCCGGGUUCGAUUACCGGUCAGGGAGUUGUUUUGCACUGACUGCCCACCCGCAGUAAUCUUUCUUUACUCCGCUGUCAGCCGGCCUGCUCCAAGAGCCAGAGGCAGAAGAGUCUCCCUGCAAGGUGCAAACCCUGGCGAAGGAGGGCAAGUCCUGGUGGACGGCCUCUCAUGACACACCCUCUUAUUUAUCUCCGUGUCCACCAUUCGCAGAAGGGGCUUUAGAGAGCGACUGAGCGUCUCGCUCAGGUGUACACCACCGUGCAGAGAUGGCAGCUCUCCUGGAGGUGUACCCAAGAAGCCCACCAUCUUUGCCGCCUCCGCCAUCCCAGAGGCGCCGAUUGGGCUGAGCUGCAAAUAACUAAGAGAGAGAGAGGCCAAGCCAAGUCGUGGCGUUUGUGUGCGGCACACGUCGUCAGCUGACACAGGCGGUCAGCUGAGCCUCCUCACCUCAGUUCGCAGCUAACAUGCUUCUUAGGCCUUCGGAAGAGGCGACAGGAGGCGAUGGCCGCGAGGUUGGGAGGGGGGUGAGCGGCGGGUGAGGUCCUCCAGGACCGCCCAUUUAUUGACUGGGUGGUACAGGAGGGCGAUGUUCGCUUACCCAACAACGACAGCAGGUGGAGUAGGCACUAAUGGAAAACUGUGGCCGGUGCCCUAAGCAGAAGGCAGGUGUAAAAAUCACUAGGACAUCAAAGGGAUAGUACCACAGUCAAAUCCCGCAAUGUCUGUCUACACUCUACCAAGCAAUUGUGCACCCUCCCCCUUUUCCAUUCAGUACUCCCAAGAAGGGUUGGGACGAACCCUGUGUCCACUGUAAAGCUCAGGGGAGAGCGGGAGCGAGGGAGGUGAAGUGCACAGACUGGGCAGAGGCGGCGGGCAGAACUGCGGGGGUGAGAGGGCGCGGUGGCUGCGGGGCGGGAGCCUCUGCUGAAAGGAGGCCUGGGUUGUCCUGUGGGUGACUGUUGGUGGAAUCUUUGGCAGCGAGUGGUUGGAAGAAUGGCGACGGGCGAGCAGAGGGGAAGGUGGUGACCCUGAGCGUCUGGCUAGGGGAGAGGAGGCUGUACUGACACUCGUCUCCUCUUACCUGGCGAGGGACAGACCGUGGUCAAGAAGGGAGCUCUCCCUGGUUGAGGCUAGUCCACCACACUCCAGCUGCUCUGACCCCUGCGAUUUCCCUACACGCGGGGCGCUUGUCUGCGGUGGUGUUUGCGCUACCCGGGGGCUGGGUUCACGCAGGCUCCUGACAGUCCUUGGCUCACCGCCCCCGACGCGGAUAUCGCCGCUAGAGACCCUUCCGCCACCCUCCUAGGGAUCUUGAGGGCCUUCCUUGUUGUUCCGACUGAAGCUCACGAACAGACAGAUGUGAGCUCUCUGUCUUUUACACGUUGAAUUUGGCUAUUGGCAAAAAAAGCCCUGACCCAGAGCUUGGGACUCCUCCCGGCCUGCACACGACUUCCCGACUCUUGCCUCCUAGCGCGGCUCUUGGCUAGCGGGCGGGCAGCCUCCACCCAGCGUAGAACCGCGGCAGCCGCAGCCCCCGCAGGCUGGCGGUCAGACACUAGCAGGAAAAGGGACACAAGGCCUGCGUGGUGGGAAAGCAUGGGAGACGUCGCUUUCCCACCAGGCGAGAAGGUCUCCCUACAGUCUUUGGACAGAAGAUGGAGGGAGGCACCCCUUCCAGGAGCAAGGCGGCUGCUCCUGAGGCCUGGCUCCGCACGGAGGCUCCUGGGUCCCGCGCGCCCUCUCCCUACCGGUUAUAGCCAGAGCUGCUUCACACAUCUCAGCCGGCUUCCUCUUCCGCCUCUGCCACCUCUUCCUCCCCAGCUCGUGGGAAAGACCUAGCCUCCUCUCCAACACUUGGAGAGGGAGUUGGAUGAACGUCUCCUAACCCCAGUAGGACAGAGAUCCUGAGGUAGGAGGGGACCCCUUGCCUUGCUGCUUCUUUUGGCACCGCUGACCCGGGCCCAGGACUCCUCGCUCCUCCUGGAAGGCCUGGGUCGUGUAGCCCACAGAGGUGGCCACGUGGGCAUCUCCCCCACUGCUCCUCAUAGAACCGGAGGCAUUAUCCUGCCGGGCCCACUCUUACCCAUGAAAGAAACUUGGGAAAUGCUCCCGGGGAAGCCGGGGAUCUGGGCGCUCGACCACUUCGGUGUGAAUCUUCCGUCCGCUCAUCCUUCCUUCGGAGGGUCUUGGGGAGAGGAGAAAUGCUCAAGGACGAUGCGCUUUGCAGCGUCUCAAGGGAAACUAGAUCUCAACGGAUACCAGAAGUCUGGAGCGUCUUCCUGGAGGAAGGCGGCCCGAGGCCUGCGGUUGCAGGGAGGCUUGCGGAGCACAGCGCCCUCUCUCAGCCUGAGCUAUCCAGUGGCUUCCAGCAUCCCAGCUGGCCGACUCCACUUCCUCUCUCUUCCUCCUACUGCGGGUCUUCUUCUUCUCUUUGGGGACCGAAUCUCGCUCUGUCGCCCAGGCUGGAGUGCAGUGGCGCGAUCUCGGCUUACUGCAACCUCCGCCUCCCGGGUUGAAGCGAUUCUCCUGCCUCAGCCUCCCGAAUAGCUGGGACUACAGGCGCGUGCCACCACGCCCGGCUAAUUUUUUGUAUUUUUAGUUGAGACGGGGUUUCACCCUGUUAGCCAGGAUGGUCUCGAUCUCCUGGCCUCUUGAUCCGCCCGCCUCGGCCUCCCAAAGUGCUGGGAUUACAGGCGUGAGCCUCCGCGCCCGGCCUACUGCGGCUCUUCUAUCCUGGUGUUCUUUGAAUGCCUAUCUUCCUUUUGUGCCACAGAACCUCUCACGCCCGCCACAGGUUGCUCAUUUCCUUGGUUGUUCUGAACUUUAAAUAAGUUAAUGUAUGUAAGAGUGCCAUAAAUGCUCAGUAAUUGACAUCUGUUAUUUUCAUCAGUAACAUCAUCUGAAUCAUCUGUAUUGUCUAUUUUUAACAACUGCAUUUUUCAUUGUCCAAAUAAAGUCACAUACAUUUGAACAUUAUAUAAUGAUUGAAUAAUAAAAUUAUUCUGCUAUUUUACAAUAAAAA
Molecule: transfer RNA, 5967 nt
Filed under: Homo sapiens (human)
Lineage: Eukaryota; Metazoa; Chordata; Mammalia; Primates; Hominidae
Description: PREDICTED lncRNA (TCONS_00019551)
Source: RNAcentral